This is an unclassified non-coding RNA of 298 nucleotides. It matches the Rfam family "Metazoan signal recognition particle RNA". From Rfam's summary of the family: The signal recognition particle (SRP) is a universally conserved ribonucleoprotein. It is involved in the co-translational targeting of proteins to membranes. The record is from Ensembl.
GCCGGGAGCAGUGGCGUGCCCCUGUAGUCCAAGCAUCUGGGAGGCUGAGACUGGCGGAUCGUUUGAGUUCAGGGGAUCGGGGCUGCAGUGAGCUAUGACGAGCGGAUGUCCACACUAAGAUCGGUGUCGAUAUGGUGCUCCUGGGGAGCCCGAGAUCACCAGGUCGUCUCAGGAGGGGUGCACCGGCCCAGGUCGGAAACGGAGCAGGUCAAAGCCCCCGUAUCGAUCAGUAGUUGGAUAGCACCUGUGAAUAGACGCUGGAGUUCGGCCUGAGCAAUACAGCGAGACUCAGUCUUUU